UAAAAUGUGUUGAUUGAAGAACCUAUGG
RNAcentral lists this non-coding RNA (28 nucleotides) under Mus musculus (house mouse). Lineage: Eukaryota; Metazoa; Chordata; Mammalia; Rodentia; Muridae. The record is from RNAcentral.